GGUUUUUACAAGAGCUCAAAACAGCUUCCUAUGCUUGGGUUGUAGUCUACUUUUUCACGUGUUUUUACAAGAGCAAUAAACAGCAUCCCAUGCUUGGGUUUUAGUGAACUUUUUCAUGUGAAUAACAGCAUAGACAUGGAAAGAGAAUGCAUCCUCAAAGCAGUGUGUGUAUACUUAAAGGAGGACCAUCUACAGCUGUUCUAGGAGUACAAUGAUUGCGACUGGGUGAAUGCUAAAGAAGCCAUAGAGCAGAUGGUAAAGGGGAUCUACAUCGUCCAAUCCGAAGGACACCAACCAGGGGAUAAAACUGUGGACGUUGGUAUCGUGAUUGAAGGGACUGAGGUUCUCUGCUCUUUGAAGAAUGUAGCUGUAGCAGUGGCCAUGGCUUGGACUUACCCACGAGAACACAAAGCUACAUUUGAGGUCAUCCGGAAUGUUUUCUUUAACUUGGAUGGACAAAA
Carassius gibelio (silver crucian carp) is the source of this 461-nucleotide long non-coding RNA. RefSeq lists it as uncharacterized. Lineage: Eukaryota; Metazoa; Chordata; Actinopteri; Cypriniformes; Cyprinidae. The record is from RefSeq and is a predicted model, not a curated record. The transcript has 4 exons.